GUAGGGGCCAUGCCUUGUACUUUCUUGUGCUCCCACAGGGCCUGAGACUGAGCCAGGUUCUCAAUUCUAGAACCAGUCUCCAGGUAUCCCUGUAGGAAGGUCCCCAUAGCUCUGGUGCCAGGAACUAAGAGAUGGAGUCCAUUGGAGGAAGACCAAAGCACACUUCUCUUGAGGAAGUGCCUGUUUUUAACUCCACAUCCUUUUGCCCUGUUCUCGUCUGCUCUGAUGGGAGCUCCUGGGUCUACCUGGGUGUCCUUAUAAGAGAAAGGGACAUUACACACAAACACACACGGCAAGGCUGUGAGAAGAUGGAGGCAAAGUGGAGUGAUGCGUCUACAAGUCAAAGAAGAAUAAGGGUUGCUGGAACCACCAGAAACUACGAGAGAGGCAUGGAUCAGAUUUUCCCUUGGAGCCUCCAGAAGGAGCUAUCUCUGCCAAUACCUGGAUUUCAGACUUCUGGCUUUCUGAAUGAAAAACAUUGCUGUCCCUUGCUACAGGAUGCUUCUCAAAUGCCAAGAAUUCUACCAUGCCCCUGGCCAGCUCCAUCAGACAAGAUGGGCAGAAGGCAGCACUGCCCCAAGGUGGCACUGCCAGGGACUUCCAUCCCCCUCCAGCUGAGGAGACAUGCCCAGAGAAGUGGAGUGAUAGGACAGCUAGCCACUAGAAGCAGCAAGAUUCAAACUCAGGGCCAAACAGCUGGGAAGAGGCAGAACCAGGUUCAAGAGCAGGCCAGCCUCGGUCGGCAACUGGGGGUCUCAGCAGGUUGCCUACCUCAUGCUCUAGGGCCCCGCCGUUUCCUGGAACCUUGCCUUGAACAGAAAUGAGAACAAGGAUGUGAAGAGAUAAUCUGAAACAACAGUAUAUGACUCAAACUCUCCUCUUCUCCUCCUCCCAUAAGAGACAGGGUUUUGCCAUGUUGCCCAGACUCAAACUCCUGGACUCAAGUGAUGUGCCUGCCUCAGCCUCCCAAAGUGCUGGGAUUACAGGCAAUGCAGAAAAGAAAAAACAUAAGGAUAAACAUAUUGAGAUUUGCUCUUGCUCCAGCACAAUUCCCUGAAAGGCUUCUUCUAAGCCUGGUAUCCUGGGAGUGGCAGUGUUUUCAGCGUGGCAGACAGAGCAGUCAGGAAGCUGGGAGCCCAAACAGCGUGAGACAAAGCCACAAAACAGAGGCCGCGCAUCAGUCGAAUAGCACUCCUAUUUACUUAUCUUUGGAGCCUCCCAGGAGGAAUAAAACAACAGAACUGGAGACCUGUUCUUGUGCUUUGGCCUUCCUGCCCAGGAUGGGAGGGUAAAGGUCUGGGUCAAGGAAAUGGAACAACAAGGCCUGGAUGAAAGCACAUCUGUUUACAGCCUAUUUCAAGCCCACUCUUGAGACCUGAUGCUCAGAAAAAAAGAUUCUUUUCAAAAUAUUACUGCUCAUUAACAAUGCACCUCAUCAUCCAAGCGCUCUAAUGGAGACUCAUAAGGGGAUUAAUGUUGUUUUCAUGCCUGCUAACACAACAUCCAUUCUGCAGCCUAUAGAUCAGAAAGUAAUUCUGACUUUAAAGUCUUAUUAUUAAAAAAAUGCAUUUUCUAAGGCUGUGGUUGCCAUAGACAGCAAUUCCUCUGAUGGAUCUGGGCAAAGUAAAUUGAAAAUUUUCUGGAAAGGAUUCAUCUUUCUUUAAAAACAUUCAUGAUUCAUGGGAGGAGAUCAAAAUAUCAAUGUUAACAGGAAUGUGGAAGAACUUGAUUCCAACCCUCAUGGAUGACUUUGAGAGUUUCAAGACUUUGGUGGAAGAAGUAACUGCAGAUGUGUUGGAAACAGUAAGAGAACAGAAUUAGAAGUGGAGCCUGAAGAUGUGACUGAAAUGUUUCAAUCUCACGAUAAAUCCUUAAGGAUGUGGAGUUGCUUCUUAUGGACAAGCAAAGAAAGUGGUUUCUUGAGACGGAAUGCACUCCUGGUGAAGACGCUGUGAACAUCGUUGAACUGACAACAGUGACUUGGAAUAUUGUAUACACUUAGUCAAUAAAGCAGUGGCAGGAUUUGAGAGCAUUGACUCCAGUUUUGAAAGAAGUUCUCUUGUGACUAAAAUGCUAUCAAACAGCAUCUCAUGCUACAGAGAGCUCUUUUGUAAAAAAAAAAAAAAAAA
Molecule: long non-coding RNA, 2129 nt
Filed under: Homo sapiens (human)
Lineage: Eukaryota; Metazoa; Chordata; Mammalia; Primates; Hominidae
Description: non-protein coding ISX-AS1:2
Rfam family: mir-1255 microRNA precursor family (bases 1891-1956)
Source: RNAcentral